Molecule: long non-coding RNA, 3027 nt
Organism: Numida meleagris (helmeted guineafowl)
Lineage: Eukaryota; Metazoa; Chordata; Aves; Galliformes; Numididae
Source: Ensembl
AUGACAGCAGACUUCAUUCUGAGCCACACACAGAUGGCUGCAAGAGCAACAGCUGCACUACCAAUGGAGCUGGUGAGGGACGUGGAGGGGUCUGACCAAGGGCACACAGCAGCAGCUGUAAAGCUCCGGGACACACGGCCGUUUCCUAACAAGCUCUUGAGCAGCCUAAGCAGCCCCAUCUCCACAAGGGGGUCACAGGCUGCCACCCACCCACAUCGGUCAGGAAAAGCUGUCACCGUUACCAGCCCAGCAGGCUCUGGUGCUGGCCCCCCCAAGCCCAUUCCCAGUGCAGGGGUGCAGCAAGAUGCUCCUGAGCUUGCAGCUGCCUUGUCCAUCCUGGGUAUCCAGCAGAGGGAGGCACCAAGUCUUGAAACAUCUCCUCUGACAUCAACAGUACAUUUCCAUCCUCCCAGAAAAGAAACAGCAUCUCCAUUUCCCACCAGAGAGAUGGUGACCAACCCAGUGUCAGCACCUCCCACCAGCAAAAGGCCGAGAGACGCGAGCCCCCAGGCUCAGCCUGACAGCAGAGCUGCACAGCCUCGGGGUGUGGGUGAUAAGGUCACCACUUCUACAUUCCUACCAAAGCCAGCUUCUGGGGGCCCUGGUGCAGUUCCUCCCGGAACAACACAGACAACUGCUGGUCAGUUCUCCCCUAUUUUAUCUCUGAAGCGAGGAACGGCAGGCAGCGAGGGCAGGAACUUCACAACAGCUGUCAUAAGCGGGUCUGGACACACAGCCCGGCUGCCUGCUCUGCAGGACGUUCUACAAGGCCGUGCACACUCCUUGUCCUUGCCGAUGCCUCUGGAAGCCCUGGGUCAUGGUGAUUUACCCCACUCUCCAUCUCAAGAGCCCACUAAUGCCGCUGACAGACCGCAGCCUCUCCCUUUACCCCGGACUCUCAACUGUACCAAACACCACUCCUCCCAAGAAACCCACAGGAGCUCUCAAGGAAGCACAGCCCUGGUUUUGCAAAGAGAUGCUGAUCACCAGUUGACAAGUAAACCUGAGAACUCCAGAUUCCCCAAGAAGCCACAGGUUUCUGCUAGUGCAUCCUCAGUAAGCCAGUCACAGAUGUCCACCUUAAACCUUUCCCGAACUACUACAGAGACAAAAGGAGCUACAUCUGCACUCCCCCCAGGCACGUCCACGCUGGAGCAUGCAGCCCUUCGAGCCAUGAGUGCUCCUGAUUCUGUUCAUGCAGCACUUCAGCCACCGCAUGUAUCUGCUCCUUCUGCUGGAUCCCAGUUUGUGGGCAUCCCCACUUCUGCUGGGCAAGGACUUCACAUACCAGCUUCACCCACUUCAGCUCACUCUGGGUCUCUGCAUCCAUCCUCUGCUCAGGAAAGCCAGCCCAGCACAACAGUACUCCCCGAACUGGUGGGAGCUGCUGUUUCUGAGGGGAUCCCAGCACACCUGGCACAGCUGCUGGUGCAGCAGUUGGGUACAUCACACCACGCAUCUACCAAAAACCUCAGUGCUAUCAGAAUUGAUCCCCUGAAUAUGUUACCAUCAUACCCGUAUUUGUCGUUCCUGCUUAGAAAUACCGAUGGCAUGCUAUGCCUGCUUCCCAUGCAGGAUUCCCCGUUGCCUACACAAUUCCCAAAUAUCAGCAUUGGGACUCUGGUUUCUGCUCAGCAAAUCCUCACAGUGUCAAAUUCUUCGUUAUUAGAUCUUGGGGACUUACCAAACCUGAGCCUUUCCAGCUUAAUCCUGGUUAAGCCCAUAUUUAUCCUCCUUCCCACCGACAGACAAGGCUCACAGGGGGGGCCCUCUCCUGAGGGUGAAGACAGCCACAGAGCCUUCUUGUUCACAAACCAGCAAGGUGUGAAUGCAGUUACCGCUGAACGCAGCCGUGACAUCCCGGUGGUGUCCACGCGCAGCCCCCGUACAGCCCCCAGAGCACCUCUCACAGCUGGGAAGCCGCUUUCUUCACCACUGCCAGCAGUGGGACCGCCCGAUCCCCCACUCCCAGCCCAGCCUCCAUUUGCCAUCACAGGGGCAGUGGAUCAGGCUCAGCCCAGCAAGGAGCCAGCGCUGCAAGGCACCAGUCAGGGCUCGGGCCCUGCACCGUCCUCUGCCCGUGCACAGUGCACUGAGUGUCUGCACUCAGCCAGAACCACAAAUUACCCAUUGAGGAUGUCCACAAACACUGUGCCUUUGCAGUCCACACCACAAAUUAUCCUCAGCUCUGAGCCGCUCCAAAGGCAGGCAUCACCAGCUGGGCUUGUGCCCAGCACUGUGCCAGCAUCCCCAGUGUCUCCCAGUGGCAGCAAAGGGAGAGGUUCAGCUGCGGGCAGCACCGCCUGUCCAGGAGCAGCUCUGCAUCCCAAGGCAGCAGCAACCCCACCCACUUCUAUAAGUCCUCACCUCACCAAGCACCUGGAGCUAACAUCCUCCGUGCCCAAGUUCUCAGCGGUGCUGGAGACCCCAGUGCUAACACCAGUGCUUUCCCCAUUUCCAUCAAAGGUCUACAUGAAAACAACAACAUCUGGGAAGCAGUUGGCUGCAGUUACCCAUCUGAGAAUGUACACCAGGUCCCCUGCAAGCCCACCUUCCUCGGUAUCCAUGCAUGCUCCCCUGCCAUCAGCCACAAAACAUGACCGGAGCACCCAAGCACAGGGCAAUGUGGGAGGAGAUGCAAAGCCAACUGAAGUCAGCACAAGUGCAAGGAAAACAGGACUUGCAGGAAGCAGCAUGCCUCUGCCAGCUGCUUUUAACACAGGGACAGAGCAGCGCCCCGCAGCAGUGCAGGGCAGCGAGGCUGCUUUAGCCCCAGUGCAGUCUGUGUCUGCAGAAGCCGUGACUGAGAGACACAGCUCCACUGGGCAGCGCCCUGGGCCGCCUACAACAGGAUCAGCUGUGGGGCUGCCCCUGAGCACCGAGGAAGAGGAGGAGGUCGGACCCCGCGAGGUGACGGAAGAAGCAGCCGAAGGCUCAGUGACAAGUCUCACACCACUGGGGUCACGGCCAGGAGAACCCCGCCGCCGCAGUGCCGUGCAGCCGGAGGGCACCGUGCUGAGCGGGUAA